This 628-nucleotide small RNA is filed under the name Vigna angularis var. angularis. Its description in RNAcentral is "Non-protein coding transcript". The record is from RNAcentral. Lineage: Eukaryota; Viridiplantae; Streptophyta; Magnoliopsida; Fabales; Fabaceae.
AAAAAUAUGACGGUAUAAUGAGACACUAAAAAUUUUAUGAGACCCAGUUUUAAUAUGUUGUAAUGUUUAGAGAUUUAUUUGUUUUUUUUUUAUUUACGUUUUUCUCCUCUUUGAGAUUUUUUAUAUUGCUGCAGGAUUUAGACUUCUUCAUCUUAAAGUUUAUACCUUGGAUUAAUUAAGUAAAAAGAUUAAUAAGCUUUGCAAAAAUUAUAAAAAAACAUCGAACAUUUAAAUAGGAUAUAGGUGUGAGUGAGAAAUAAAAAAUAGUUGUACCUUGUGAUGCAGUGAUGACAUUGAUAUCUUGAUGGGAAUGAUCUGAAGAUGUGAUAUCUUUGGGAGAUGUGGAGCAUAUACGAAUGCCUUUUCCUUCUAAUCGAUCAAUAUGUGCUUUAAUUCUUGAAACUCCUCCUUUGAAUUUGAAUUCACAGCGCUUACACUUCAGCCUACCAUCUUCUUCUCUAUCAACUUGAUUCCAGUAGUACUCAUCUUUCGGCCUACCCAUUAUUACUAUAUUUCCUGGAUCCAUAAAACGAAAUCUAAUUAAUAUUCAUUUCAUCGUUUCUUAAUCAAAUUUCAUGCUCACCACCUCAAAGGGUUGAUGAAAGUGUCAAAGAAAACUCAACUGCAA